This 432-nucleotide ribosomal RNA is filed under the name uncultured bacterium. RNAcentral's name for it is "partial 16S ribosomal RNA". It matches the Rfam family "Bacterial small subunit ribosomal RNA", at positions 29 to 506 of the family's 1533-position model. The record is from RNAcentral.
AACGAACGCUGGCGGCAUGCCUAACACAUGCAAGUCGAACGAGACCUUCGGGUCUAGUGGCGCACGGGUGCGUAACGCGUGGGAACCUGCCCUUAGGUUCGGAAUAAUUCCCCGAAAGGGGUGCUAAUACCGGAUAAUGUCUUCGGACCAAAGAUUUAUCGCCUUUGGAUGGGCCCGCGUUGCACUAGCUAGUUGGUAGGGUAAAAGCCUACCAAGGCGACGAUCCAUAGCUGGUCUGAGAGGAUGAUCAGCCACACUGGGACUGAGACACGGCCCAGACACCUACGGAAGGCAGCAGUGGGGAAUAUUGGACAAUGGGCGAGAGCCUGAUCCAGCAAUGCCGCGUGAGUGAUGAAGGCCUUAGGGUUGUAAAGCGCUUUUACCCGGGAUGAUAAUGACAGUACCGGGAGAAUAAGCUCCGGCUAACUCCGU